UUUUCUCAACAUUUUGAAAUAAAAGUAUAGCUUUUCAAUAUCUUUCAGAUGCCUCAAAGAUCCGACUAAUGUGAAGUUUUUAAAAACACAAAUUUGCAGGCGCAAGAUAAGUGUGAAAAGGCUGAACCAGCUAAGAAGUGUUCCAUUGGUAUCUACACAAAUGUCAAGAGACAGAGGAAAUCUCUUAACAAUUUGGGGAGACCCUGAAGGAAGGAGGGAGUCAUGGGAGGAUACAGAAAAGAGUUGGAGCAAAUGAAAAGGCAUGGAUGGGAUCCAGUCUGCCCCAUUGGAGAAAGUACCUAUGGCUAUAUGAUAGGAGAUCCAUUGAAGUAAAAAUAUUAGCCAUCAAAUAUUUUGGCCUUUGGCCUUGCUGUCACCAAGAAAGUUAUUUUAUGUGAUAUUCAGAAGCCUGAAAACUUGCACUCUUUUUCUGUGGAUACACCUGUUACUUACAUGCAUUGGAUGGAAGUUAUGAAAGUAGGUUUCUGGUUCGUGUCUCGGCUUAUGCUUAUCAAGUGACUUGAAAUCAUUAUCAGUUAUUACAGAGACAGGAGAUUCUACCAGUAUUAUGUCAGAAAUUUCAUAUUUUCAGGUCUAUUGGAACUGUCCUGAAUCAUCUUGCUGGUGAAAAGAGCCAUGUCUGUCAGAAUUGAUCAUCACAUACUCUUGUUGUUGCCGUGUACAAUUAAUUCCUGGUUCUCCUCACUUCCUUCAGCAUCAGUUCAUGACUUGGAAAAAGCUUGACCCCUCAGUAGAGUCCUCAUACUCCAGUAUACAGAAAUUGGUCAUAAGUCACUUAUAGAGAGUUCAGAGCUUCAUUUUUGAAAAGGAAAGUAUUUCAAUGCUGAAAGAGUUGGUCAGGCUUGAUGAACAGAGUGAUCUUAUACCUAUACAUACUGUCUUCCUGGAGAGUCAGUGGAGAAUAUGAAAGUGCAAUAUUUGCUGUGAAUAGUUUUCGGAAAGUCUCUUGUGUAUUAAGCUCAAAUCUCUGUCAUGUUAGAGUAUUUGAAAUGGAUGUAGAUGAUGGGGAAAUUGAAGAGGAAGAGAAGGAUGAAGAAGAGGAGGAAUCUUCAUCCCAUCACGUGUCUGAAAUGUAACCACUGGAAGGAUAUUUCCUUUUGCUGAUGUUCCUUGAUAAAUCUGCCUGAAGAACUGUAGUUUUUAAAGCAAACAUUAAUUGAAGAAAGGGA
This 1190-nucleotide long non-coding RNA is filed under the name Sarcophilus harrisii (Tasmanian devil). RNAcentral describes it as "lncRNA (ENSSHAG00000031328.1)". Lineage: Eukaryota; Metazoa; Chordata; Mammalia; Dasyuromorphia; Dasyuridae. The record is from RNAcentral.